UAUAUAAUUUAAUUUUUAAGUUGUAAAGCUUAAAUAUAUAUGUUAGACGAGAAGACCCUAUAGAUCUUAAUAUUUAAUAUUUAAUUUUAUUAAGGAUUAAUUUAUAGAUUAUUUGUAAAAAUAUUUUAUUGGGGUAAUAUAAAGAUUUAAUGAAUUCUUUAUAAAUCAAACAUUGAUUAUUGAUUUAGUUGAUCCAUUAUUAAUGAAAUAAGAUUAAGUUACCUUAGGGAUAACAGCGUAAUUUUUUUAGAGAGUUCAUAUCGAUAAAAAAGUUUGCGACCUCGAUGUUGGAUUAAAAGUAAUCUUAGGUGCAGUAAUUUAAGGUUUUGGUCUGGGGCGACCAUUAAAAUUUUACA
This 356-nucleotide ribosomal RNA is filed under the name Derovatellus lentus. Its description in RNAcentral is "partial 16S ribosomal RNA". The stretch from base 229 to 356 matches the Rfam family "Bacterial large subunit ribosomal RNA", at positions 2473 to 2600 of the family's 2925-position model. The record is from RNAcentral. Lineage: Eukaryota; Metazoa; Arthropoda; Insecta; Coleoptera; Dytiscidae.